AUUGAACGCUGGCGGCAUGCCUAACACAUGCAAGUCGAACGGCAGCGCGUUUGGGGUAACCCAAAUGGCGGCGAGUGGCGGACGGGUGAGUAAUAUGUAGGAAUCUGCCCAGAGAUAAGGGAUAACUUAGGGAAACUUAAGCUAAUACCAUAUAAGCCCGAGAGGGGAAAGCAGGGGACCGUAUGGCCUUGCGUCUUUGGAUGAGCCUACAUCGGAUUAGCUUGUUGGUGAGGUAAAGGCUCACCAAGGCGACGAUCCGUAGCUGGUCUGAGAGGAUGACCAGCCACACUGGGACUGAGACACGGCCCAGACUCCUACGGGAGGCAGCAGUGGGGAAUAUUGGACAAUGGGGGAAACCCUGAUCCAGCAAUGCCGCGUGUGUGAAGAAGGCCUUCGGGUUGUAAGGCACUUUCAGUUGGGAGGAAGGGGUGAGCACUAAUACUGUUCAUCAUUGACGUUACCGACAGAAGAAGCACCGGCUAACUCUGUGCCAGCCGCCGCCGUAA
RNAcentral lists this ribosomal RNA (506 nucleotides) under uncultured bacterium. Its description in RNAcentral is "partial 16S ribosomal RNA". It matches the Rfam family "Bacterial small subunit ribosomal RNA", at positions 30 to 523 of the family's 1533-position model. The record is from RNAcentral.